UACAGAGGGUGCGAACGUUGCUCGGAAUUACUGGGCGUAAAGCGCGUGUAGGCGGGACGGCAAGUCAGAUGUGAAAUCCCCGGGCUCAACCCAGGAACUGCAUCUGAAACUGCCGCCCUAGAGUCUCGGAGAGGGUGGUGGAAUUCCUGGUGUAGAGGUGAAAUUCGUAGAGAUCAGGAGGAACACCGGUGGCGAAGGCGGCCACCUGGACGAGUACUGACGCUGAGACGCGAAAGAGUGGGGAGCAAACAGG
This 253-nucleotide ribosomal RNA is filed under the name uncultured bacterium. RNAcentral describes it as "partial 16S ribosomal RNA". It matches the Rfam family "Bacterial small subunit ribosomal RNA", at positions 524 to 776 of the family's 1533-position model. The record is from RNAcentral.